GUCGAACGAACUCUGGUAUUGAUUGGUGCUUGCAUCAUGAUUUACAUUUGAGUGAGUGGCGAACUGGUGAGUAACACGUGGGAAACCUGCCCAGAAGCGGGGGAUAACACCUGGAAACAGAUGCUAAUACCGCAUAACAACUUGGACCGCAUGGUCCGAGUUUGAAAGAUGGCUUCGGCUAUCACUUUUGGAUGGUCCCGCGGCGUAUUAGCUAGAUGGUGGGGUAACGGCUCACCAUGGCAAUGAUACGUAGCCGACCUGAGAGGGUAAUCGGCCACAUUGGGACUGAGACACGGCCCAAACUCCUACGGGAGGCAGCAGUAGGGAAUCUUCCACAAUGGACGAAAGUCUGAUGGAGCAACGCCGCGUGAGUGAAGAAGGGUUUCGGCUCGUAAAACUCUGUUGUUAAAGAAGAACAUAUCUGAGAGUAACUGUUCAGGUAUUGACGGUAUUUAACCAGAAAGCCACGGCUAACUACGUGCCAGCAGCCGCGGUAAUACGUAGGUGGCAAGCGUUGUCCGGAUUUAUUGGGCGUAAAGCGAGCGCAGGCGGUUUUUUAAGUCUGAUGUGAAAGCCUUCGGCUCAACCGAAGAAGUGCAUCGGAAACUGGGAAACUUGAGUGCAGAAGAGGACAGUGGAACUCCAUGUGUAGCGGUGAAAUGCGUAGAUAUAUGGAAGAACACCAGUGGCGAAGGCGGCUGUCUGGUCUGUAACUGACGCUGAGGCUCGAAAGUAUGGGUAGCAAACAGGAUUAGAUACCCUGGUAGUCCAUACCGUAAACGAUGAAUGCUAAGUGUUGGAGGGUUUCCGCCCUUCAGUGCUGCAGCUAACGCAUUAAGCAUUCCGCCUGGGGAGUACGGCCGCAAGGCUGAAACUCAAAGGAAUUGACGGGGGCCCGCACAAGCGGUGGAGCAUGUGGUUUAAUUCGAAGCUACGCGAAGAACCUUACCAGGUCUUGACAUACUAUGCAAAUCUAAGAGAUUAGACGUUCCCUUCGGGGACAUGGAUACAGGUGGUGCAUGGUUGUCGUCAGCUCGUGUCGUGAGAUGUUGGGUUAAGUCCCGCAACGAGCGCAACCCUUAUUAUCAGUUGCCAGCAUUAAGUUGGGCACUCUGGUGAGACUGCCGGUGACAAACCGGAGGAAGGUGGGGAUGACGUCAAAUCAUCAUGCCCCUUAUGACCUGGGCUACACACGUGCUACAAUGGAUGGUACAACGAGUUGCGAACUCGCGAGAGUAAGCUAAUCUCUUAAAGCCAUUCUCAGUUCGGAUUGUAGGCUGCAACUCGCCUACAUGAAGUCGGAAUCGCUAGUAAUCGCGGAUCAGCAUGCCGCGGUGAAUACGUUCCCGGGCCUUGUACACACCGCCCGUCACACCAUGAGAGUUUGUAACACCCAAAGUCGGUGGGGUAACCUUUUAGGAACC
RNAcentral lists this ribosomal RNA (1424 nucleotides) under Lactiplantibacillus pentosus. RNAcentral describes it as "bacterial SSU rRNA". It matches the Rfam family "Bacterial small subunit ribosomal RNA". The record is from RNAcentral. Lineage: Bacteria; Bacillati; Bacillota; Bacilli; Lactobacillales; Lactobacillaceae. RNAcentral also lists the same sequence under 1 other name.